Molecule: long non-coding RNA, 203 nt
Filed under: Capsicum annuum
Lineage: Eukaryota; Viridiplantae; Streptophyta; Magnoliopsida; Solanales; Solanaceae
Description: long non-coding RNA (CANN_LNC015498)
Source: RNAcentral
CCUCUGUUUUAUAUUACUUAUGGGUGCCGUAUUUAUGUUAUGUAAUCUGCUUCUGUGCUUUACUAUGUGUUUGUGUGGUAUCUCGUGCCUUGAGCCGGGGGUCUAUCGGAAACAACCUUUCUACUUCUUCAGAGGUAGAGGUAUGGACUGCGUACAUCUUACCCCCCCAGACCCCACUAGGUGGGAAUACACUGGGUUUGUUG